This 372-nucleotide long non-coding RNA is filed under the name Pan troglodytes (chimpanzee). RNAcentral's name for it is "long non-coding RNA NONPTRT005441". The record is from RNAcentral. Lineage: Eukaryota; Metazoa; Chordata; Mammalia; Primates; Hominidae.
GCAAAUCCCAAUUCGCCUCUCCCACCUGCCCCCUCCUCUACCCUGGCUUGAGGGGAAGAGCCAGAGGAGCCUGGCAGGGUGCUCCUGGGAUAGCUGAGUGUCAGGAAGUGGUCAGGCACUGAUAAAACCGAGAGCCAAGCAGGACAAGAAACACAGCUGCAGGGAGCCUCCAGGAAGUGUGCAGAGGCUAAGCACAGGAACCUGCAGACUAAAUGGAAAGGCUAACAAAGCCAAGCACCAGGCACCAGCUGCCAACCUCCCGAGACGUGGAGCUGUCCAGGGGCAGAGACAGAAGAGGCAGCCUCGUGCCACCGCAUAGAACCCCGGAGCCACACAGACCCCUGGAGCCCCACCAACUGUGAGAAGGCUCCU